Molecule: ribosomal RNA, 465 nt
Filed under: uncultured bacterium
Lineage: Bacteria
Description: partial 16S ribosomal RNA
Rfam family: Bacterial small subunit ribosomal RNA
Source: RNAcentral
GAUGAACGCUGGCGGCGUGCUUAACACAUGCAAGUCGAACGGAAAGGCCCAAGCUUGCUUGGGUACUCGAGUGGCGAACGGGUGAGUAACACGUGGGUGAUCUGCCCUGCACUUCGGGAUAAGCCUGGGAAACUGGGUCUAAUACCGGAUAGGACCACAUUUUGGAUGGUGUGGUGGAAAGUUUUUCGGUGUGGGAUGAGCUCGCGGCCUAUCAGCUUGUUGGUGGGGUAAUGGCCUACCAAGGCGUCGACGGGUAGCCGGCCCGAGAGGGUGUACGGCCACAUUGGGACUGAGAUACGGCCCAGACUCCUACGGGAGGCAGCAGUGGGGAAUAUUGCACAAUGGGCGCAAGCCUGAUGCAGCGACGCCGCGUGGGGGAUGACGGCCUUCGGGUUGUAAACUCCUUUCGCUAGGGACGAAGCGCAAGUGACGGUACCUGGAGAAGAAGCACCGGCUAACUACGUG